Gavialis gangeticus (Gharial) is the source of this 1251-nucleotide long non-coding RNA. RefSeq lists it as uncharacterized. The transcript has 4 exons. Lineage: Eukaryota; Metazoa; Chordata; Crocodylia; Gavialidae. The record is from RefSeq and is a predicted model, not a curated record.
GAUGUGGGGGAGCGGAGCACUUCCCCGGAGCCAGGGAGCCCGCGCCAGGCCGCAGCCACCGUCCCCUGGCCCCAGCUCCCGGGCCCUGGUCCCAGCCCCCGGCCUCCGCCCCUCAGCCCCUUUCGGUAAGUGUCCCACGCCGGACCGAGGCGGUGCGCUCACUGACCGAGGAGGGAGCAUUGGCUGGCAGGGCAUUUUCUAAAGACCCUAAUUCAGCAAAGCAAGUGAAGCAGCAGGUGUUUAAAGUGCUUUACUGAAUUGGAGCUCCAAUGAGAAAAGAAGAUGUAGCUGAGCCCAUUGUCAGCUAACAAGAGUGGAAGAUGAAGGGCCUGAUUUUGCUGGAAAUGCAAGGACCUGAAGUCAACCUUAGGAUGUUGUAAGUAGACCACUUAUAGUUUCAUUUUCUUCCUUCUCUCUUGGGGUAAUUGCAGGAUUUAAUUUAAUGUCAAUGGGAGUUACUUGACUGGGACAGGAAGACAAUUUUUCCCUGCCAGGGCAUCUUGUGACUCAGGGGUACCUUGUACGAGAUGCUUUCAAAAUGGUUACAUAGUAUUAAGUAAUCCUUAUUUCUCAGUUGCUAAAUUAUGUCUUUUAUGAAAUGACAUAAUUUAUUAAGUCAUUGUAUGUAGUUUUAUUAAAUGUCCACAUACAACUCAGCAGGCAACCCACUUCUUUUUACAGAUUAAAAAUCCCUGCAGCCACAUCCAUGUCAGUGGUGAACUUCACCUGUCCCUAGAAGGGGGGGAGGAGUGUUUCCAUCUAGCACACUUGUGUUGACCCAGUUUAAGCCUGCAGGUUGCUGAGCCACAAAAAUCAGUUUCCAGGGUUGUCUGGAAAUGCCAACACUACAUCUGUUUACUACCACCCAACCCCAGGGUGGCAAUUACAGGCACAGGGAGGUGGUUCAGUUAAAAAAACUCAAGGUCUAGGGCAGCUAACAGUUACUUUUUAAAGUAUAAAGCACAUAUAUUUGCAGCAAGAGAGGACACAGUCGGCUGGUAGAGAACAGGCUGCUUCCUCUUACUUCUUAGGGGCAAGAACAUACUGAACUUUUUAUAAAGAAGAAAAGUAUUCCCGGAGUAAAGUGUUGUGAAUAGGUCUGGACGGAGGAAGCAUGCACUGCAGACUAUGCCGGGCCAUAAAUAAUAGAGUUCAUUCAUCUCAACACAGAGAACUUUAAUUUAAUCUUCGCUCUUCCUUUGCAUGUGCCUAGAGCAGCGCUAGUGCUGGGGCCGUGCAGGGCUUGGGGCG